Molecule: non-coding RNA, 359 nt
Organism: Camelina sativa (false flax)
Lineage: Eukaryota; Viridiplantae; Streptophyta; Magnoliopsida; Brassicales; Brassicaceae
Source: RefSeq, a predicted model, not a curated record
GCAAAAAGACAAAAAUAGGGCAGGAAAAGUGGGACCACAGAUCCACCGACCGGAAACGAAGAAUCCAUAAGGAGGGGUUCGGUCGAGUCGGACCGGUCGGAUUUGGAUUUUUACGAACAAGGGAGUGGACCCCCCGAGACGACAGACGUAAGCAGUGACAACAUCGACUAAUGGCCACGUCAGCAACUGACUUCUCUAUGCGAAACGUGUAUCGGCAGCGUCAUCCACCCACAGUUUCAGACGCCAAGUUUCUCAGAGAGAUAUACAAGAUUAGGAUCAGGACCAUAUCCCCCCAACCACCAUCGUCCUAAUCUUAUUUCGUAGUUACUACUUACUACUAGUGGCUAUCAAUAAUAGGC